AACGAACGCUGGCGGUAUGCUUAACACAUGCAAGUCGAACGGUACCUUCGGGUAUAGUGGCGGACGGGUGAGUAACGCGUGAGAAUCUGUCUUCAGGUCGGGGACAACAGUUAGAAAUGACUGCUAAUACCGGAUGUGCCUAUGGGUGAAAGAUUUAUUGCCUGAAGAAGAGCUCGCGUCAGAUUAGCUAGUAGGUGGUGUAAGAGACUACCUAGGCUUUGAUCUGUAGCUGGUCUGAGAGGACGAUCAGCCACACUGGAACUGAGACACGGUCCAGACUCCUACGGGAGGCAGCAGUGGGGGAAUUUUCCGCAAUGGGCGAAGGCCUGACGGAGCAAUACCGCGUGAGGGACGAAGGCUUUUUGGGUCGUAAACCUCUUUUAUUAGGGAAGAUAAUGACGGUACCUAAUGAAUAAGCAUCGGCUAACUCUGUGCCAGCAGCCGCGGUAAU
Molecule: ribosomal RNA, 451 nt
Filed under: uncultured cyanobacterium
Lineage: Bacteria; Bacillati; Cyanobacteriota
Description: bacterial SSU rRNA
Rfam family: Bacterial small subunit ribosomal RNA
Source: RNAcentral